This 1087-nucleotide long non-coding RNA is filed under the name Callithrix jacchus (white-tufted-ear marmoset). RNAcentral's name for it is "lncRNA (ENSCJAG00000083449.1)". The record is from RNAcentral. Lineage: Eukaryota; Metazoa; Chordata; Mammalia; Primates; Cebidae.
UGCUCCCCACCCAGAGUUUAAGCAAUUCUCCCACCUCAGCCUCUUGAGUAGCUGGAAUUACAGGUGCCUGCCACUGUGCCUGGCUAAUUUUUGUGUUUUUAGUACAGACGGGGUUUCACCAUCUUAGCCAGGCUGGUCUUGAACUCCUGACCUCAUGAUCCACCCACUUCAGCCUCUCAAAGUGAUGGGAUUACAGGCAUAGGCCACCACACCUGUCCAGGUAGAGGAUACUCACACAGGCACAUGAGUAUAUGCCAUGGGUAUAUAGAUGCUCCUGACUUCUUUCAUUCUUCCUGGUUAUUCCAAAUGGUGUUACGUAAAAUGAUUUAAAAUCAUCAGUAUGUUGAAAUUUAGUUUUGACCAAGUCCUUGAGUAAACACAAAUGUCUACAUUGUGCUCUACAGUUUACCAAGCAUUUUUCUUCACAUUCUCCCAUUUAAACCUCAUACCCAUGGUUUUAUUUUAAUUAUCAUUUUCCUGUACAGUUAAGAACGCUAGAGGUAGUAAGUUCUGGGCCAGAUCUUCAUCUGGCUCAUCCAACACCAGGGGUCUUGCACUACAUCAUACCACCUCUACUUUCAAGUUUCGCACAAUAUGAGAUGUUCUAUUUUAUUUCCUUCCAUUUAAUCCAUGCAGAGUCAAACUGCUUACUCUAAGUUCAUACUUAAUCUGAUUUAGACAGUCAUAUUUGGCUUGCCUUGUUUAUACCUUUUGUUGAAACCUGUUUCCUUCUGAGACUUGACCCCACAGUUUUCCCAGAGACCAGAUGAAUGUAUUCUAGCAAACACUCAUCUGGGUGUUGCUGUAAAGGUUUGGUUGACUCUUCUGUUAGCUUUCCAAAUGUUCCUGAAAGAGGCCUGCAGGGUGACCUCCAACAGACUGAAUGACAGAGGCUGGCUUUUGUGUCAACAACUUAUGCAAGCAUCAGGAACUUCCAUUAAACACAAGUGAAGAUACUUCUUUGCUCUGAAACUGGCACACUAAAACUCAGCUUCGAGAGGAAGAACAAUACUCUUUUUUUCUUUUCUUUGUGUUUGUUUGUUUGUUUGUUUGUUUUGGGGACAGAGUUUUACUCUGUCACCCAGUC